RNAcentral lists this ribosomal RNA (1461 nucleotides) under uncultured Bordetella sp. RNAcentral describes it as "partial 16S-23S ribosomal RNA intergenic spacer". It matches the Rfam family "Bacterial small subunit ribosomal RNA". The record is from RNAcentral. Lineage: Bacteria; Pseudomonadati; Pseudomonadota; Betaproteobacteria; Burkholderiales; Alcaligenaceae.
GGUUUGAUUCUGGCUCAGAUUGAACGCUGGCGGGAUGCUUUACACAUGCAAGUCGAACGGCAGCACGUGGACUUCGGUCUGGUGGCGAGUGGCGAACGGGUGAGUAAUGUAUCGGAACGUGCCUAGUAGGGGGGAUAAUCUCACGCGAAAGCGCAUACACCGCAUACGCCCUUCGGGGGAAAGCGGGGACCUUCGGGCCUCGCACUAUUAGAGCGGCCGAUAUCGGAUUAGCUAGUUGGUGGGGCAACGGCUCACCAAGGCGACGAUCCGUAGCUGGUUUGAGAGGACGACCAGCCACACUGGGACUGAGACACGGCCCAGACUCCUACGGGAGGCAGCAGGGAAUUUGGACAAUGGGGAAACCCUUGAUCCAGCCAUCCCGCGUGUGCGAUGAAGGCCUUCGGGUUGUAAAGCACUUUUGGCAGGAGAGAAAGAAACGGCACGGAUAAUACCCCGUGCAACUGACGGUACCUGCAGAAUAAGCACCGGCUAACUACGUGCCAGCAGCCGCGGUAAUACGUAGGGUGCAAGCGUUAAUCGGAAUUACUGGGCGCAGCGUGCGUGCGGUUCGGAAAGAAAGAUGUGAAAUCCCAGAGCUUAACUUUUGGAACCGCAUUUUUAACUACCGAGCUAGAGUGUGGUCAGAGGAGGUGGAAUUCGCGUGUAGCAGUGAAAUGCGUAUGCGUGGAGGAACACCGAUGGCGAAGGCAGCCUCCUGGGAUAACACUGAACGCUCAUGCACGAAAGCGUGGGGAGCAACAGGAUUAGAUAAUUUGCAGUCCACGCCCCAAACGAUGUCAACUAGCCGUUGGGGCCUGCCUUGGUAGCGCAGCUAACGCGUGAAGUUGACCGCCUGGGGAGUACGGUCGCAAGAUUAAACUCAAAGGAAUUGGACGGGGACCCGCACAAGCGGUGGAUGAUGUGGAUUAAUUCGACAACGCGAAAACUCCACUACCCUUGACAUGUCUGGAAUCCCGAAGAGAUUUAGAGUGCUCGGCAAGAGAACCGGAACACAGGUACUGCAUGGCUGUCAGCUCGUGUCGUGAGAUGCUGGGGUUGUUUCCGCAACGAGCGCAACCUUGUCAUUAGUUGCUACGAAAGGGCACUCUAAUGAGACUGCCGGUGACAAACCGGAGGAAGGUGGGGAUGACGUCAAGUCCUCAUGGCCCUUAUGGGUAGGGCUUCACACGUCAUACAAUGGUCGGGACAGUGGUCGCCAACCCGCGAGGGGGAGCCAACCCAGAAACCCGAUCGUAGUCCGGAUCGCAGUCUGCAACUCGACUGCGUGAAGUCGGAAUCGCUAGUAAUCGCGGAUCAGCAUGUCGCGGUGAAUACGUUCCCGGGUCUUGUACACACCGCCCGUCACACCAUGGGAGUGGGUUUUACCAGAAGUAGUUAGUCAACCGUAAGGAGGGCGAUUACCACGGUAGGAUUCAUGACUGGGGAAGUCGUAACAAGGUA